Molecule: RNA transcript, 2764 nt
Organism: Carica papaya (papaya)
Lineage: Eukaryota; Viridiplantae; Streptophyta; Magnoliopsida; Brassicales; Caricaceae
Gene: HDS
Gene name: 4-hydroxy-3-methylbut-2-enyl diphosphate synthase
Source: RefSeq, a predicted model, not a curated record
GCUCAGAGCAUGUAUCUGUCCUCAUCCAUUUCUUUUCUUUUCCGUUUAUAAAUCCAAUUUCGCUCGGAAAAUUUACAUCGCUCUCGUUCUGGUCCCGCCACCGAACUCCAUUCUCCAGACUCUUCUGUUUCAUUUUCAGUUUUCUCGGUCUUUCAGCUCGCAAGCCAUUAACUACAGUUAAAUCAGAGCUUGUACUUUGUGAAAAUGGCAACGGCAACUGUGCCAACUUCUUUUCCGGGCCUGAAGAGUGGGGACUCCAGCAUAGGUUUCGCUAAGAGUAUGGAUUUUGUGAGAGUGUGUGAUUUGAAGAGAGUUCAAUAUGGAAGAAAAAGAAUUUCAGUUAUUCGGAAUUCAAAUCCCAGCUCAGAUAUUGCUGAACUUCAGCCUGUGUCAGAAGGGGGCCCGCUGUUAGUUCCUAGACAAAAGUACUGUGAAUCCUUACACAAAACUGUCAGGAGGAAAACGCGGACAGUGAUGGUUGGAAAUGUGGCUCUUGGCAGUGAGCAUCCUAUAAGAAUCCAAACAAUGACUACAACAGACACAAAGGACGUAGAUGCAACCGUUGAACAGGUGAUGAAAAUAGCAGAUAAAGGUGCAGAUAUUGUGCGAAUAACUGUUCAAGGGAGGAAAGAAGCUGAUGCAUGUUUUGAAAUAAAAAACUCCCUUGUCCAGAAAAACUAUAAUAUACCUCUAGUUGCAGAUAUUCAUUUUGCCCCUUCAGUGGCAUUGCGGGUUGCUGAAUGCUUUGACAAAAUCCGAGUCAACCCAGGAAAUUUUGCUGAUAGACGAGCACAGUUUGAGAAGCUAGAAUACACAGAAGAGGAUUACCAGAAAGAACUUGAACAUAUUGAGCAGGUGUUUACCCCGUUGGUUGAGAAAUGUAAAAACUAUGGAAGAGCAAUGAGAAUCGGGACUAAUCAUGGGAGUCUUUCAGACCGUAUAAUGAGCUACUAUGGGGAUUCUCCAAGAGGAAUGGUUGAAUCUGCAUUUGAGUUUGCAAGGAUAUGCAGGAAGUUGGACUACCAUAACUUUGUCUUCUCAAUGAAAGCAAGCAAUCCAGUUAUCAUGGUCCAGGCGUACCGUUUGCUUGUGGCUGAAAUGUAUGUUCAAGGCUGGGAUUAUCCUUUACAUUUAGGUGUUACUGAAGCUGGAGAGGGUGAGGAUGGACGUAUGAAAUCUGCAAUUGGCAUUGGGACCCUUCUUCAGGAUGGUCUGGGUGAUACAAUUAGAGUUUCUCUUACAGAACCACCGGAGGAGGAGAUAGAUCCUUGCAGACGAUUGGCUAACCUUGGUAUGAAAGCUGCUGAACUUCAGAAAGGAGUGGCACCAUUUGAAGAAAAGCACAGACAUUAUUUUGAUUUCCAGCGCCGGUCUGGUCAACUGCCAUUACAGAAAGAGGGUGAGGAAGUGGAUUAUAGGGGUGUCCUGCAUCGUGAUGGCUCUGUUCUUAUGUCAGUUUCACUGGAUCAGUUAAAAGCACCAGAACUCCUGUACAAGUCACUUGCAGCAAAGCUUGUUGUUGGCAUGCCAUUUAAGGAUCUGGCCACAGUGGACUCAAUAUUAUUGAGAGAGCUUCCCCCAGUGGAUGACAAUGAUGCACGGCUGGCUCUCAAAAGACUGAUAGAUGUGAGUAUGGGGGUUAUAACUCCUUUGUCAGAGCAGCUAACAAAGCCAUUGCCGAAUGCCUUGGUUUUGGUAAAUCUUAAGGAAUUAUCAACUGGUGCUUACAAGCUUUUGCCAGAAGGUUCACGCAUGGUGGUGUCAGUACGUGGUGAUGAAUCCCAUGAAGAGCUGGAAAUCCUCAAAGAUGUUGAUGCUAUAAUGCUUCUUCAUGAUCUACCCUUUACAGAAGAAAAAAUUAGCAGAGUGCAUUCAGCUAGGAGGUUAUUUGAAUAUCUGGCUGAUAAUUCUCUGAACUUUCCUGUUAUUCAUCAUAUUCAGUUUCCAAAGGGGAUACACAGGGACGAUUUAGUCAUUGGCGCUGGCACAAAUGCUGGAGCCCUUCUAGUAGAUGGACUUGGAGAUGGUGUCUUGUUGGAAGCGCCGGACCAGGAUUUUGAUUUCCUCAGGAAUACUUCUUUCAAUUUACUACAAGGCUGUAGAAUGCGGAAUACAAAGACGGAGUAUGUCUCUUGCCCAUCCUGUGGCAGAACUUUGUUUGACCUACAAGAAAUAAGUGCCGAAAUAAGAGAAAAGACAUCUCACUUGCCUGGCGUUUCAAUUGCAAUCAUGGGUUGCAUUGUCAAUGGACCAGGAGAGAUGGCCGAUGCAGAUUUUGGGUAUGUUGGUGGUGCUCCUGGAAAAAUUGACCUCUAUGUUGGGAAGACGGUUGUGAAGCGUGGGAUUGAAAUGGAGCACGCAACUGAUGCGUUGAUUCAACUGAUAAAAGAUCAUGGCCGUUGGGUGGACCCUCCUGCAGAAGAGUAAGAUCAGGCAGUUUUAGUUGGAAGAUGAGCAGAGAAAACAUUGCAUGGGAGGUCAACUUUCGUCAUGUUGUAGAUUGGAGUCUCCCAGGUAGGAACGAAGAUAUCAUGUGGAUCACCUCUCAAAUUCUCUCUCUAAUUAGAAGAAACCAAGCUAGCCCACUUUCUCUGUUCCUUUUACUAUCAGGAACUCAUUUGGUACAAUUUCCUUAUCCCGAUGUUCACAUCCAACCCUCUCUAUUUUCUCAUUUGCACUUCGUGUUUUCGCAAGAAUAACAUAGAGAUCAGAAUUCACGUGUGAAACACGAAAAUUCCAAAAUACAGUUUCAUAUUACCGAUGA